UGUAAGCGUAUACCAAAGUUGUUGCAGUUAAAACGCUCGUAGUCGGAAUUUGGCAGUUCCGGAUGUGUGCACGUCGUGUGCGCACUUCGCGGGGAUUGCUUUUGUGGUCUUGCGUAGGAUGAGGCACUUUUAUUAGUGAACGUCCUCACGCAACCACUUUUUACUGUGAGAAAAUCAGAGUGCUCAAAGCAGGCAUUUGCCGUGAAUGUAUUAGCAUGGAAUAAUAGAAUAGGACUUGGUUCUAUUUUGUUGGUUUGUUGGGACUGAGUAAUGAUUAAGAGGGACAGUUGGGGGCAUUUGUAUUUCGGUGCUAGAGGUAAAAUUCUUAGAUUACCGAAAGACAAACUGCUGCGAAAGCGUCUGCCAAGGAUGUUUUCAUUGA
RNAcentral lists this ribosomal RNA (382 nucleotides) under uncultured eukaryote. RNAcentral describes it as "partial 18S ribosomal RNA". It matches the Rfam family "Eukaryotic small subunit ribosomal RNA", at positions 592 to 976 of the family's 1831-position model. The record is from RNAcentral.